Molecule: unclassified non-coding RNA, 165 nt
Filed under: uncultured Helvella
Lineage: Eukaryota; Fungi; Ascomycota; Pezizomycetes; Pezizales; Helvellaceae
Description: sequence contains ITS1
Source: RNAcentral
CAGAGUUCAUGCCCUUCGGGGUAGACCUCCACCCUUGCAUACCUUACCUUUGUUGCUUUGGCGGCCCGCCUCACCUUGUGUGAGGCCACUGGUCUUGGCCGGUGCGUGACCGUCGAAGGUUAUCAACUCUAUAAUUUAUGUCGUCUGAGUACUAUAAAAUAGUUA